GUAAGUGACUAACUGACUAUCGCUAUUUUGCUGUAAAAGGCAAAGAAGUGAGGAAGGUCCGCCCACCCUCCGAAUUUUUGGAGUAGUGUUAAUCAUGAAAGUGAUAUGCAGAAAUGCAUGGCAACAUUACAGAAACGACACAGUUUUUGCUGAGCUGUGAAUCAAGCGAGGAGCUAAGAAGCAAAAAAUUUGAUGAGACGAAUGUCCUGACUGGUGCAAGGUCUUUAAGACUGCUUAGUCAAAUGUCAGAUGUUCAAUUUUCGAAAGAAAUGAACAACAUAAGGUGGCCUAAAGUCACUUAC
This 302-nucleotide RNase P RNA is filed under the name Candidatus Pacearchaeota archaeon CG1_02_31_27. Its description in RNAcentral is "RNase P RNA component". It matches the Rfam family "Archaeal RNase P". From Rfam's summary of the family: Ribonuclease P (RNase P) is a ubiquitous endoribonuclease, found in archaea, bacteria and eukarya as well as chloroplasts and mitochondria. Its best characterised activity is the generation of mature 5'-ends of tRNAs by cleaving the 5'-leader elements of precursor-tRNAs. Lineage: Archaea; Nanobdellati. The record is from RNAcentral. RNAcentral also lists the same sequence under 3 other names.